Molecule: ribosomal RNA, 395 nt
Filed under: uncultured bacterium
Lineage: Bacteria
Description: bacterial SSU rRNA
Rfam family: Bacterial small subunit ribosomal RNA
Source: RNAcentral
GUGUCAGCAGCCGCGGUAAUACGUAGGGUGCAAGCAUUAAUCGGAUUUAUUGGGCGUAAAGGGGGCGCAGGCGGCAAAAUAAGUCGGAUGUGAAAUCCCAGGGCUCAACCCUGGACCCGCAUUCGAAACUAUUUUACUAGAGGGUAGACGGAGAAAACGGAAUUCCACGUGUAGCGGUGAAAUGCGUAGAUAUGUGGAAGAACACCGGUGGCGAAGGCGGUUUUCUAGUUUAUACCUGACGCUCAUGCCCGAAAGCUAGGGGAGCAAACAGGAUUAGAUACCCUGGUAGUCCUAGCCGUAAACUAUGUAUACUUGGUGUAGUCGGACUCAACCCUGACUGUGCCGUAACUAACGUGUUAAGUAUACCGCCUGGGGAGUACGCUCGCAAGGGUGAA